AGUGGCAGACGGGUGAGUAACAUGUGGGUAUCUUCCCUAUGGUGAGGAAUAACACGAGGAAACUUGUGCUAAUACCUCAUAAGUCUUUACGGAGAAAGCUUUAUGCGCCAUUGGAUGAGCCCGCACUUGAUUAGUUUGUUGGUAGGGUAACGGCCUACCAAGACUGUGAUCAAUAGCUGAUUUGAGAGGAUGAUCAGCCACAUUGGGACUGAGACACGGCCCAAACUCCUACGGGAGGCAGCAGUAAGGAAUCUUGCACAAUGGAGGAAACUCUGAUGCAGCGAUGCCGCGUGAGUGAAGAAGGCCUUUGGGUUGUAAAGCUCUUUCGUCGGGGAAGAAAAUGACUGUACCCGAAUAAGAAGGUCCGGCUAACUUCGUGCCAGCAGCCGCGGUAAUACGAAGGGACCUAGCAUAGUUCGGAAUUACUGGGCUUAAAGAGUUCGUAGGUGGUUAAAAAAGUUGGUGGUGAAAUCCCAGAGCUUAACUCUGGAACUGCCAUCAAAACUUUUUAGCUAGAGUAUGAUAGAGGAAAGCAGAAUUUCUAGUGUAGAGGUGAAAUUCGUAGAUAUUAGAAAGAAUACCAAUUGCGAAGGCAGCUUUCUGGAUCAUUACUGACACUGAGGAACGAAAGCAUGGGUAGCGAAGAGGAUUAGAUACCCUCGUAGUCCAUGCCGUAAACGAUGUGUGUUAGACGUUGGAAAUUUAUUUUCAGUGUCGCAGCGAAAGCGAUAAACACACCGCCUGGG
This 746-nucleotide ribosomal RNA is filed under the name uncultured Alphaproteobacteria bacterium. Its description in RNAcentral is "bacterial SSU rRNA". It matches the Rfam family "Bacterial small subunit ribosomal RNA", at positions 94 to 877 of the family's 1533-position model. The record is from RNAcentral. Lineage: Bacteria; Pseudomonadati; Pseudomonadota; Alphaproteobacteria.